RNAcentral lists this ribosomal RNA (253 nucleotides) under uncultured bacterium. RNAcentral describes it as "partial 16S ribosomal RNA". It matches the Rfam family "Bacterial small subunit ribosomal RNA", at positions 524 to 776 of the family's 1533-position model. The record is from RNAcentral.
UACGUAGGAGGCAAGCGUUGUCCGGAAUUACUGGGCGUAAAGUGUGCGCAGGCGGCCGCGCAAGUCGAGUGUGAAAUCCCCGAGCUUAACUUGGGAAUUGCGCUCGAAACUACGUGGCUGGAGUGUGGCAGAGGGAGGUGGAAUUCCUGGUGUAGCGGUGAAAUGCGCAGAUAUCAGGAAGAACACCAAUGGCGAAGGCAGCUCUCUGGGACGGUACUGACGCUGAGACGCGAAAGCGUGGGGAGCGAACAGG